AUUCCAUGAUGAGGGCAGUCUUCAAUGUAAUUCUGUAAUCUUUCCCAUCAGUGAGUGAUUCAUCGUGUUGUUGUUGGAAACUUGAAAUCUUCCCACAUAGAGC
This 103-nucleotide small nucleolar RNA is filed under the name Sorghum bicolor (sorghum). RNAcentral's name for it is "Plant small nucleolar RNA R71". It matches the Rfam family "Plant small nucleolar RNA R71". From Rfam's summary of the family: R71 is a member of the C/D box family of snoRNAs containing the C (UGAUGA) and D (CUGA) box motifs. Multiple nearly identical copies of this snoRNA have been identified in Arabidopsis, and it is thought to function as a 2'-O-ribose methylation guide for 18S ribosomal RNA. The record is from Rfam by way of RNAcentral. Lineage: Eukaryota; Viridiplantae; Streptophyta; Magnoliopsida; Poales; Poaceae.